This is an RNA transcript of Bombus impatiens (common eastern bumble bee), 4636 nucleotides long. RefSeq lists it as uncharacterized. NCBI's taxonomy places the organism in Eukaryota, Metazoa, Arthropoda, Insecta, Hymenoptera, Apidae. The transcript has 5 exons. The record is from RefSeq and is a predicted model, not a curated record.
UAAACGUAUCUGCGACAUGGGGUGGCAUUGUUCUAUCGAAAAUCGUCGUGUUUGGAUGUGUAACCUUGCUCGAUGCGCUUCGCUGUGCCUAUUACCGUGUGUCACGUACUUCCAUUGCUCUUUCAUUGUUGGCUGACGCGUGGAUAACAUCGAAAGAAUAACAAUACCGUAUGAUGUCACGGGCGAUUGACAACCGAUACGACGUUCUGCUAUUUCUUACGUUCUCUUUUUUAUUCAUAAAGAUAUUAUCUUUAGGGAGGUAGAGCACGAUAAAAGAGAAAAUUGCGAGUGUUCCAAUACUUUUACCCGACGAUAUACCUGGUCUGUGGUUAUGUCAUACAACAAUGGUUUCUACUCCGCAAGUGUAACGUCCGGUUUCGUUUUCACGCUUCUUACGUUACGUCGAAACGCGAUACCCAGCGACGUCGCCGGGUUCAGUCCGCGACAUUCACGCUCAGUGAAUCCAUAUUCGGUUCUCCAUCGAAGAAAAUUGCGAAACGAUUCGCAAGUGCUCGCGGCCCGCUGCUAAAUACGGCGCCAACGACCGUAGUGCUUUUCGUCGUUCGCCAAUAUUCCUAGAUACUUCUAUAUACGAGGUGGUUAAAUGGUAGCAGCAGAGCGGAUCUUUCGUCGUUGCGGUGCACCGCAAUUUUCGACCUCUAAUUUUAUGGUUUUUCGUGGCGGACCCAACGGAGAGGAGGUCUGCCCUCUCAACCAGAAAUCCCGCACGGUGAAAUACCUUUCGCAUACGUUUACGUACGUGCAAUUAUCCUGUCGGUUACGCCGGUACACACCGAUUAUUUUCUUGGCGCGUCGCGUGACGAGCAUCGUCCUUUUUUCUUACCCUUUCAACCAUUCGACGAUGGACGAGAAUCUUCUCGAUGGAGCUACCGUGCCAAAGUAUUGUGUUUCAAUGUUUAUUUUUUCCUUUUCUUUCUUUUUUCGUUGGUUGGUUGUUUUUCUGACAAGUUAACACUCGCGCGUGUUCAGCUUCGCAGACGCUGUGAAAUUGAACACACGCAAGCGCCAAUUUGUAGAAAAGAUCGACGGUAUUCGCUUGAUCGCGAUUUCUCCGGGUUUGUCUAAUGAAAAUUUUAGGUCGAUCGACCCCUCGGGGGAAGGAUAACGGAAAAUUGAAAGAUCAGCGUCAUAGCCAGCCGCAUGAACAUUUUUCAUGGCUUGUUCACGGCUUGUUCGACGAGAAUGUUCGUUGCACGAUUUUUCAAAAAUAGUUAUCGCUAAAUUUAAUAAAAAAAGCCAGAAACUUUUUCAUUGAUUUCUAAUAUAGCAUAUGGCUGUCCGCGCUUGCCCAUCCAAUCUUGUUCGGCUUCAAAAUCAAUAAAAAUGUUCACCAGGCGCAGAUGUACAAUUUUUUGGAAUUUUCAUUCGGUGAUGACUUUUUCUUUUGAAAACUCGACGAACGAAAAUUGCUGUCGGACAAAUGUGCACAUAUCGUGGACAAUCAUAUCACGUUUACGAAUCAAUGAAAAGUGUUCAUGCGGGUGCUGAUGAUAAAUAUUGUCAUUUGACGAUAACUUUUUUUUUUUUAGAGGCGGAGAAAUGACAAUUUUGUUUGGACAAAUGUGGACGAUUCGCGGACAAACGAGUACUGAUUAUUUUUUUUGCGUGUAAAUUUGCACUUGGAAACGCCAGUUUCACGAACCGACUGGUGCAACUAUUAUUAGGUCUUUGCUUCCAUUCGAUACUGCAAUAGUUGCUACUUAUUCGAGGAUAUAUUUCGCAUUCUUACUCUCUGAAUCUUGGUAGUGAUUCAAAUAGUAAUUGCCAAUUAAGCUGGAUGAAACAAGAUUUCUAACGAAAAUUAUCCUCGAUGACAUUUUAAUUACGUUACGAUAUCAAAACACGCAGGAGGAAUUUGGUAGCGUUGGCAAGUUAUUUUGUUCACCAUAUAUACAAUUUCGUCAUUUUAUAUACCAUAAAUUUUCAUACAAUCAAUACUUGCGUUAAUUUAAAAAUAUCCAACUCGUUACUUUCGCUCGUAGUUAUUUUUCCAUUCGACUAUCCUUCGCUGAUUAUGGCCAAGUUUGUUAAUAAAUAGAAUAAUCCAUUAUUUUCUUUUACGAUGAGCAAGAUCACUGGCGAGAAGUGGAUCACAAUGUGCAAUAGGACGACAUCGCGUUGCAAAAUAGCUUGUUGUAAACGGUCACCGUGGAAACAUCGACGGUCAAGGAUUUUCCACGUCUUUUCCCCAAAGGCGUUGCUCUAUCGAUUAUCGGCAACGUGUUUUCUCCUCGUCACACGCGUCUUUGCUUCGAGAAUGUUUCACGUUUUCGUAUCCGUAGCAGCUGGAAAUAAAUUUCCAUUUUUAGUGCAAACACUGCGCCGCGACUUUGACCUUGCAGCUACUCCACAUUUCUAUCUUCGUCCAUAUGACGUAAGUUUAUCAACUUUCAUAGUCGUUCGAUAUUUCCAGGUUUAAUCGAUGAAAAUUCAUUCGAAUUGAUAGAGAGCGGUGUGCAGACGUUUUUAGCCGGACACAUCUUUCAGCUUGCGUUCCAACAUCGAGGGAAAAAUCUAUCCUAAAUUUUUGCACGUCGCUGUACCUAUACGUACGCCGAUGAAAUAGUUCGUACGAUAGAAAGGGUAUGGGUGAUGUAUGCAAAUUAAUUGCGUCGUGUAUUAUACCGUAAGCUUAAUCUUUUAAGCUUCUUUGCGCGCUAUGUGCGCUUCUCGCAUGUGCAUGUUAAUUGAAAAUCCAUGUGAAGCAGCAGUUUUCGCCUGAUUUAACGAGCUGAGAUCGUUUUCGAGACAAAUAUUCGCUGACUUUCACGAUUUGUUUGCCGUGUUUAAUUGCGCUCGCGCGUGAUCCACGUACCAUUUUCAGUGCAAACCCGGACCUCCGCGUUCAACACACCGAUUUCCACGUAAUUUUAUCGGAGAGUAACUCGCCGAUAAUUUUUAGUACGCGAGUAUGAUCGAUUUGCAGGAACAAUACAGGAAUAGCAUAGAACCUCUUUCGUGCUGUACACGCAACGAUCGUAACACGAGUUACUCAUUAAUCGUAUUACUUUAUUAAUUAUUUAUUAAUUAUCUGAUCGUCCUAUACGUUCCGAUGCGUCAUGUUUCUUCUGCAAGACACCCGACCGAUACAAAAAUUUUUGUCGCAGUUCAAAACGGAGUUUCAUUGCAGUAGAGUGGAAAGAAAAAUCGUCGAUUUAGGGGAAAAGUGGCGCACUUGGAAACUCGUCGAUUUUAAGCUACAUCUUGGAAACCUGAUUCUAAGAACACUUAUCUUUUUAAAACUAAAUUAUUGUUAUCGUUUCUUUAACAAAGUUACGCGGAUCACCUGUGAUUCGUAAAAUUUACAAAAUUUGUAAAAUUUCAGUUCAGUGAUAUCGGUUGGAUCGUGAACGAGUUUCCAGAGUGCUGUGUCGGGACGAGAGAAACGCCUGGGUCCGAAACAUACUUUUUAACCCCGAAAAAACGGUGAAAGGUAUCGAAUCCGUUCGAAUAGCAAUAAAUAUUUGGGAGAUCGCAACGCCGGAAGUGAAUCGUAUAAAAUACGUAUUGAUUAGAAAGAGGCGGCCAGAGAGGUGGGGCCAUUUGUCCAUUUAAUGGCGAAGAUCUUGACAAAAGGUCUACAAAUCCCUCGUGGAACGAGCGGCGCAUCGCGGGAUAAAGGAAAGUAAUGGAAAGCGGACAGUAAAUCUAGAGCAAAGCAGCAGCGGCAACUUCCUGGAAAAUUUCAAGUAUUUAUAGUUCUGCACGUAGGCAGCACCGAGUGCCAAGCUUUGGUAAACAGUAACCUGUUUCGUUUAUGUCGGAUGAAAAGGCGGUGAGUGUAUCUUUUACGGUGUUUCAAGGUCUCCGUCGCUCGUGCGUCUAUCGAAACGUUAUUAUUAUCAUUCGUUUUAUUUAACCAGUUAGUUAACCGUAGAAUUUAGUUUUAGAAAUGUCUCGUGAGAUUAGGUGAUGGCGUGCGUAAAUGAAUAAAACGACGACGAAUAUAAUUGAUGAUUAAUUAAUCCGUCAGAUAUAUUAAUUUUAAUCAACUAGAAAUUCUCCUGCAUAAAGGUAAUAAGUUUUUAGCGAUGAAUCGAUCAAAGUUCGGAUGCGUCAAUUUUCUAUAUUACACGCUGUGCAAUUAUUUUACUUUACGUUCAUCUACCGAUGAUAUCACUUACGAAGGUACUUUCUUUUUUCAACAGUUGACAGAGCAGCGUAGUUCUACGUUGAAGUUAGUGUUGGAGUGAACUAUUACGUUUUAUGUACGCCCUAUAGGUAUCUUUAAGAGCGAUGUUACACGACGUGCUUCUGUUGUCCUACUUUACAAUAGUUACGGCACUUUUUCACGACACCUCGGGAAAGCUUCGUACAACGUACGAUCUACCUACUGUAUAUUCUUUUAUGUAUUUUAUAUGUAGUAAGUAUGUUUUUACUAGCAAACGAUAACGCUUUCUUACGUCUACCAUAUACGUACUCGCAUACAUAUACGUUGCUCGAUGGCAUUUCGUUAAAUUAGGUACAAUAAUAUAGGAUUUUUUUUAAUUUAUUUAGAAAUAUUAGAAAUUAGGGUUUCCAGUGAUUUCUAUCCUAUAUGAUAAGUUUAUUGAUCGACAGAUCUAUUUACAAUGGAUUAAACAGGAAACGAUGGUUAUUUAACGUGAACUAAAUA